Panicum virgatum (switchgrass) is the source of this 1942-nucleotide long non-coding RNA. RefSeq lists it as uncharacterized. The transcript has 3 exons. The record is from RefSeq and is a predicted model, not a curated record. NCBI's taxonomy places the organism in Eukaryota, Viridiplantae, Streptophyta, Magnoliopsida, Poales, Poaceae.
CCUUUUACCUCCCACACUCCCGCCCAGCCCGCUUUGACCUAGCCCGCAUCCCCUCCCUCUCCUGUUCUCCUCUUCCCUGGCGGCGGCGGCAGCGCCCAUGAUGCUUGAAGGUCGUCGGUGCUCCUCCUCCACCACUAAUCUGAGUGCUGUUGCAGUAGAGCCUGAGAGUGAACAAAAUGAAGCCGAGUGAAUGCCCUCCUUGGUAAGUGUUAGUUUCUAGAUGUUUUUUUAGCGCGUAUAGCAGUGAUUAUUUCUGGAGUGGGUUGUAUCCCAACUCCAAAAUGUUGCUAUUUUCGUUCUUAUGUCCGGAUUGAUCUUGGCGAUGCAUUUAGACUUGUUGUUUCAAUUGCUAAGCGUAAGGCCGUUAGAAAUAAUAUUUCCAACCUCCUGAACUAAGCGAUCUUGCUUUUGACCCUCACAUGCAUGAUAUAUAGGGAAGACUAAAUGCUCACUUUAUUCUCUUGAUGUGCAACACCUACAUAUGACUCAUAGAGUAUACAUUCUAGUUUAUAAACUACGUAAUAGUACUGUCUAGUAGAAAAAGUACCAGGUCUAGUUUAUAUGGAGCCCUUUGUGGUGGACAGAACCUAUGGAGCCCUUUAGUACUGAGUGGUAACACCAUCUGAUAUGGUACUAAGGGUCUUCCACGGGUUGCACAAAAGAAAGUAUCUUCCUCUCAAUCACAAAUACUAUGUAGGUGAGAUGGUAAGGGAGAUACGCGUGAGACAAAAAAUCGCGAGUUUGAAUCCCGGCCACCGCAAACGCAUGUAUUUCGCUUGAAAAUUUCAAGUAACAUGUGACAAAGACUAUACCCAUAGUACUAGUACUAGUUGGUCCUUUUCAACCAGUUCCGAUGGAGUGUUUUCUGGAGGCACAUCAAGAUGGUAAACUCGAUUUCCUUUCUGUCAGGUAAGCAUUACACAAUUUCUUAGAGUCCUUCGCCUACCAUCUUUUUGUUUUCAAUUUGUUGGUCCAUUAUUGCGUAAUAUCUUUGCGUAACGUGUGUAGCCAUGGCCCAUGGCGCACGAUUUAUCUGAUUAAUUCCGUGUGCGUGUUCCGAUCAGAAUUCCGAUAAGGAUUCAAAUUGAUUUAUCCGGACUCCGAUUAAGAUUCAGAUUAACGGACCAAGAAAACAUGGUUUGCUUUAGAAAUAAAAUAGAUAUACAGAGAGAGAUAGAGAUAGAGAAAGAGAUAGAAAUAGAGACAUGUGGAUCUUGUACAGGGCAGGCGAGUCGUGUUGAUCACAAACAACGGAGAACCAGAGAACAACUGUCUCCCUUUGGGCAGAGGGCACGCUUCCACCAUCCAGGACAUCGAGAACAAUAAGCGCGACGAUACAGGGGCGAGAGAUCGAUCGACAUGGCGUCUUCGUUGCGACAGCUGCUGCCGCUAAAGAGGAUCCCGGCCGUCCUCGGCUACGCCCGGCGUCCAGCGCCGCCGCCACCUCCCGCCGCCCCCGUCGGCCUCCGGACCUUUACGACCGGCGGCGCGAGCAGCAGCAACGCGUACAAGGCGGCGCCGCCCUUGACUCGGACCUCUCCUGGAAGUGGGAUGUAUCACUGGAGGCAUGGUGAGAUGGUGAAGUCGGACGCGCAUCCUGUCGGGUCCACGCACGAGCGGACCUGUGGGAUCUCUUGUUUCCUGUGUUCUUCUGGACCUUAAUAGGCAUCCCGGCCGUGGUCUAUCGAGCGGCACCCUCCCCUCACGUUUCGCUGGAGAGAUUAAGCUAGCCGCCACUCUUGAUUAUAUUCUGGAUCGAUUAUUGGCUGGUUCAAUUAGUAGACAUUUAUUAAUUAGUUUUCAUAUUAUAUGUAUAGUGCGUGUUUAGUUUUGUAGCAGCAUGUAUACGUACUUUUCUUUCAGUUGGAUGUAUAUGUAGAUUAUCAUGCAUGUUGCAUGAUCAUUACGUACUCUCUUAUAAUUGAUUGAUUACUAUUAAAUA